GAGUUUGAUCCUGGCUCAGGAUGAACGCUAGCGGCAGGCCUAACACAUGCAAGUCGAGGGGUAGAAGGAGCUUGCUCCUUUGAGACCGGCGCACGGGUGCGUAACGCGUAUGCAAUCUGCCUUGUACUGAGGGAUAGCCCAGAGAAAUUUGGAUUAAUACCUCAUAGUAUAUAACCUUCGCAUGUUGGUUAUAUUAAAGUUCCAACGGUACAAGAUGAGCAUGCGUCCCAUUAGUUAGUUGGUAAGGUAACGGCUUACCAAGACGAUGAUGGGUAGGGGUCCUGAGAGGGAGAUCCCCCACACUGGUACUGAGACACGGACCAGACUCCUACGGGAGGCAGCAGUGAGGAAUAUUGGUCAAUGGGCGCAAGCCUGAACCAGCCAUGCCGCGUGCAGGAUGAAGCAUCUAUGGUGUGUAAACUGCUUUUAUACGGGAAGAAACACUCCUACGUGUAGGAACUUGACGGUACCGUAAGAAUAAGGAUCGGCUAACUCCGUGCCAGCCGCCGCGGUAA
This 515-nucleotide ribosomal RNA is filed under the name uncultured Flavobacterium sp. Its description in RNAcentral is "bacterial SSU rRNA". It matches the Rfam family "Bacterial small subunit ribosomal RNA", at positions 9 to 523 of the family's 1533-position model. The record is from RNAcentral. Lineage: Bacteria; Pseudomonadati; Bacteroidota; Flavobacteriia; Flavobacteriales; Flavobacteriaceae.